RNAcentral lists this ribosomal RNA (575 nucleotides) under Lactiplantibacillus plantarum. Its description in RNAcentral is "bacterial SSU rRNA". It matches the Rfam family "Bacterial small subunit ribosomal RNA", at positions 62 to 612 of the family's 1533-position model. Lineage: Bacteria; Bacillati; Bacillota; Bacilli; Lactobacillales; Lactobacillaceae. The record is from RNAcentral.
UCUGGUAUUGAUUGGUGCUUGCAUCAUGAUUUACAUUUGAGUGAGUGGCGAACUGGUGAGUAACACGUGGGAAACCUGCCCAGAAGCGGGGGAUAACACCUGGAAACAGAUGCUAAUACCGCAUAACAACUUGGACCGCAUGGUCCGAGUUUGAAAGAUGGCUUCGGCUAUCACUUUUGGAUGGUCCCGCGGCGUAUUAGCUAGAUGGUGGGGUAACGGCUCACCAUGGCAAUGAUACGUAGCCGACCUGAGAGGGUAAUCGGCCACAUUGGGACUGAGACACGGCCCAAACUCCUACGGGAGGCAGCAGUAGGGAAUCUUCCACAAUGGACGAAAGUCUGAUGGAGCAACGCCGCGUGAGUGAAGAAGGGUUUCGGCUCGUAAAACUCUGUUGUUAAAGAAGAACAUAUCUGAGAGUAACUGUUCAGGUAUUGACGGUAUUUAACCAGAAAGCCACGGCUAACUACGUGCCAGCAGCCGCGGUAAUACGUAGGUGGCAAGCGUUGUCCGGAUUUAUUGGGCGUAAAGCGAGCGCAGGCGGUUUUUUAAGUCUGAUGUGAAAGCCUUCGGCUCAA